RNAcentral lists this ribosomal RNA (253 nucleotides) under uncultured bacterium. Its description in RNAcentral is "partial 16S ribosomal RNA". It matches the Rfam family "Bacterial small subunit ribosomal RNA", at positions 524 to 776 of the family's 1533-position model. The record is from RNAcentral.
UACGGAGGGUGCAAACGUUGCUCGGAAUUAUUGGGCGUAAAGCGCACGUAGGCGGUCUAGCAAGUCGGGUGUGAAAGCCCUCAGCUUAACUGAGGAAGUGCAUUCGAAACUACUAGGCUUGAGUACUGAAGAGGACGACGGAAUUCCCGGUGUAGAGGUGAAAUUCGUAGAUAUCGGGAGGAACACCAGUGGCGAAGGCGGCUUCCUGGACCUGUUCUGACGCUGAGGAGCGAAAGCGUGGGGAGCGAUCCGG